This is an RNA transcript of Haemorhous mexicanus (house finch), 6186 nucleotides long. It is a transcript of the gene named multifunctional ROCO family signaling regulator 1, with no coding region annotated. Lineage: Eukaryota; Metazoa; Chordata; Aves; Passeriformes; Fringillidae. The record is from RefSeq and is a predicted model, not a curated record. The transcript is spliced from 5 exons.
CCCGCUCCCCCGGCCAUGGCUCAGACGGAGCCCCCGAAGGCGGUGCGGCUGUGGCGCGACGCCGCCCUGCGCGCACGGAAGCUGCGGGGCGGCCCCGGCGAGCCCGAGCCCGAGCCCGAGCCUGAGCCGGACGCGGGGCCGCCGGGGGGGCCGCCGCCGCCGUCCCCCGGUGCCGCCGCUCCUCGUCUCCCGUCCCUGGCGGCUGCGGCGCUGGGGGAGCUGGAGGCGCUGAACCUGAGCGGGCGGGGGCUGGAGGAGCUGCCCGAGGAGGUGGGUGCCGCCCUGAGCGGGCUGCGGGUGCUCAGCCUGCGGCGCAACCGGCUGGGCCGCCUGCCCGCCGCCGCCCUGCGCCACCUGGGCCGCCUGGCCGAGCUCGACCUCAGCCAUAACCGGCUGCGGGGCCUGGGGGACGGCGGGGCGCUGGCGGGGCUGCGGGGCCUGCGCAAGCUCAGCCUCAGUCACAACGAACUGGGAGCCGAGGGCCCGGGGCUGACCCCCCGCCUCGCCGAGCUGGGCUGCCUCGAGGAGCUCGACCUCAGCUUCAACCGCCUGCGCCGCCUGCCCGAGGGCCUGGGCCGCCUGCGGCACCUCCGCACCCUCGACGUCGACCACAACCUGCUGCCCUCCUUCCCUGCCCCGCUGCUGGAGCUGGCUGCCCUGGAGGAGCUCGACUGUUCCGGCAACCGCCACCUCGGGGCCCUGCCCGAGGGCAUCGCUGCCCUCCGCCGCCUCAAGAUCCUGUGGCUCAGCGGCACCGGGCUGGCGUCCCUUCCCGAGGGUCUCUGCCAGCUGAGUGCCCUUGAGAGCCUUAUGUUGGACGGCAACCGGCUGCAGGCGCUGCCCGCUGGCUUCGGCAGACUACAGCGGCUUAAGAUGCUGAACCUUUCAUCCAACCUGCUGGGGGAGUUCCCCUCUGCCAUCUUAGCACUGCCCAGUCUGGAGGAGCUCUACCUGAGCCGCAACCAGCUCACCGUGCUGCCCCCUCACCUCUGUCAGCUCCACCAGCUCCGCACUCUCUGGCUGGACAACAACCGCAUCCGCUACCUGCCUGACUCCAUCGUGCUCCUCCACAGCUUAGAGGAGCUGGUCCUGCAAGGCAACCAGAUCGCCAUCCUGCCUGAGGGCUUUGGGCAGCUUUCCCGUGUCACCCUGUGGAAGAUCAAAGACAAUCCCCUCAUCCAGCCCCCCUAUGAGGUGUGCAUGAAAGGCAUCCCCUACAUUGCAGCUUACCAGCAGGAGCUGGCCCACUCCCAGCCUGCCCUGAAACCCCGCCUCAAACUAGUCCUCAUGGGCCUAAAGGAUGCAGGAAAGACUCUGCUGAGACGGUGCCUCAUGGAGGAAAAUGAGCAGAGAGAGGACAUGGAAAGCCUGGAGGCAGGGAACACCCAGCACAGAGGGUUUCCUGGGCAACAGCAGGACAUUGGGAGGGUGGCAGUUGGGUGUUGCCCCUUUCCAGAGCCUCAAGACAAUUCCUCAACUCGGGUACCUGUCAGGCAGCAGGUGGAACGUCUCCCUGUUGAGCGGCAGGACAUCCCUUCUCGUGUGCCCUCUCACCAAGCAAAAGGGGACACAACAUCCCCUGCACCGUCACUGCCGCCCCGUGUGCCCCGAGUACCACUGGGACUAGGACUGUCAGGAGGCAGUAGGGGCAUCGAGGUGAUGGACUGGACAGCAGAUGCAGAGAGGGGCCUGACAUUCAUUGUGUAUGAGCUGGCGGGGGACCCGAGCUAUGAUGUGAUCCAGUCUUUCUUCCUCUCCCCUGGAGCCUUGUACGUGCUGGUGGUGAAUUUGAGUGCCUACGUCCCUCAGCACUUCUACCCUUCUGUGGGCUAUUUCUUACACUGGCUCAGUUCCAAGGUGCCCCAUGCCGUAGUGUGCAUGGUGGGAACCCAUGCCGACCUCUGUGCAGAGCGGGAGUUGGAAGAGAAGUGCCUGGACAUCCAUCACCAGAUCGCUCAGCAGGAGAAGAGGGAUGCUGAGGGACUCCAGAGCUUAGUCCAGCAGGUGGAUGAGGCUCUGGGACAGGACUUUGACCUGCGCUGCUCCAGCCCGCAUGCUGCCUUUUACGGGGUCUCAGACAAAAACUUGCGGCGAAAGAAAGCCCAGUUUCAGUAUCUUCUCAACCACCGCCCACAGAUCCUGUCUCCAGUGCUGCCUUUCAGCUGCCAGGACCGUUGCCAGGUGCGGCGUCUGCGGGACAAGCUUCUCUCGGUGGCCGAGCACCGGGAUAUCUUCCCAAACCUGCACCGGGUGUUGCCCAAGUCCUGGCAGGUGCUGGAGGAGCUGCACUUCCAGCCUCAAGCUCAGCAGUUGUGGCUUAGCUGGUGGGACUCUGCCCGGCUGGGCUUGCAGGCAGGCCUGACGGAGGACCGGCUGCAGAGUGCCCUAUCCUACCUGCACGAGAGUGGAAAGCUGCUCUACUUUGAGGAGCAUCUGACCUUGCGGGAGUAUGUGUUCCACAACCUGCCGCGGCUCAUAGACAUCCUCAAUGUCUUUUGCCAGCGGGAUGCCACCGUGUUGCUCCAGAAACUGCUCAGCGACAGCCAGAUUGACGAACUGAGGACCGCUCAGCUCCAUCAUUACGUGGAGGGCUUCUUGCUGCAUGGCCUUCUUCCUGCCCACGUUAUCCGUCUCCUUCUUAAGCCACACGUCCAGAGUCGGGAGGAUCUGCAGCUCAUUCUGGAGCUGCUGGAGAAGAUGGGGCUAUGUUACUGUGUCAACAAACCCAAAUGCAAGCCCUUAAAUGGGGCGGCUGCUUGGUACAAGUUUCCCUGCUAUGUGAAAAACGAAGUGCCCCAUGCGGAGGCAUGGAUCAACGGCACCAAUCUGAGCGGACAGUCCUUCGUGGUCGAGCAGCUGCAGAUUGAGUAUAGCUUUCCAUUCAUUUUCCCACCCGGCUUAUUUGCACGCUACAGUGUCCAGAUUAACAGCCACGUGGUUCAGCGGUCGGAUGGCAAAUACCAGAUUUAUGCCUACCGGGGAAAGGUGCCUGUGGUGGUGAGUUAUCGGCCUGCCAAGGGAGCUCUGCAGCCAGACACUCUGUCUAUCGCUAGUCAUGCGUCCCUACCAAAUAUCUGGACAGCUUGGCAAGCUAUUACGCCUUUAGUGGAAGAACUGAAUGUCCUGCUCCAGGAAUGGCCAGGCCUGUACUACACUGUGCAUGUCCUCUGUUCAAAGUGCCUUAAAAGAGGGUCACCCAACCCACACACUUUUCCAGGAGAACUGCUGAGUCAGCCGAGACCAGAGGGACUGACGGAGAUCAUCUGUCCCAAGAACGGCAGCGAGCGAGUUAAUGUUGCCUUGGUUUACCCCCCCACUCCUACUGUGAUCAGCCCUUGUUCCAAAUAAACCGUCAAUGCUGGUGCCAAAGGUUUUCCACCGGGCAGAACAUGGCCGAUGCUCUGCAGUGCUCCCAUCUUUCCAGUUGUGGAGUUGAUGCUGACGGGAUCAAUGGGACUUUGGACUUUGGACCCUGAAAGAAAUGCUGUGGGGCAGGGGCAGCUCCCAGGUGGGGGCCUCAUGGCUGGAGUGGAUGAAGUCAUCUGGAGGUUGGGGAUGACAAGGCAUGAAGGAAAAUGAUUGCUGCAGUUGUCAGGGCCGCUGGCCGGAGGGAAAACACUGGGGAUAGGUUUCUGUGGACCCACUGAAUGCGUGUUGAAAACCCAUUUGGAUCUCAUGAUGAAUGUAAAAAUGUUCUUGAUAUACCAUUUAAUUCAGACCUGCUUGGAGGAAAGUCUCUUGAAAUGAGCUGUAGCGGGAUUCCCUGGAUUUGUUCCUGGACAAGGUAUCAUUCCAGCUUGGGAGGAUAGCUUGGGCUCAGAUUUCAUGUGCUGACCUGCUACUUCUGGCAGUGAACCUUACGUCAGUGUGAAUCAUUAAUUGAUUGUGCUUCUCUGCUGCUGUGGAUAAACCGGAGACUCAGAAUCGUCUGUGGUGGCUGGAGAAGGUGAAAGGGAGGAAGAAACUAGCGAUUUGUUGCGGUGAAGUUGCGUGGAAACCACAUUGUAAGGAAACCACAAACUGGAAUCCUUUUCCAGCCGGAGGCCUUUUUCCCAGUGUGCCCAUCUGGUCUGGGAUGCGUGAGCAUUGAAGGAAUGAGAGGACAGAGCAGACUGCAAGAGGACUUACAGCCUGCUCCUUGGGACUGCAGCCCUCCUGCUGGGGUGUGCCACCUCCGUGGGAGCAUUCCCUGGCCUUUGCAGGCACUCAGGCUGCUGCUGUGCACUGAAGCCCUAAUGCCGGGAGUGUGGCAGUAUGGAGAUCAAUUUAGUUGGGUCUAUUUAAUACAAAACGGUGAUUGCUCAUCCACCCACUGUUUAGUAACUGGUGUAACUGUGUUUUCAUCUGAAUUUUUUUAAUAUGCAAAAGCCAUUUACUUUUCUAUGCAGUUCAGAAACAUCUCACCUUUGCAGUUGCCAGGUGGGAGAUCCAUGCAGGAGAACCAAACCAAGCGGCUCAUAGUACUUUGAUUUUGCUGUCGCAGUUUUUAAGAAUGCGCCCUGGGAUCCUCAUACAGCGUCCCUUUGCUGAGCUCCUGCCUCAGACCUCACUUAAUAUCCUUCAGCCCCAGGGUUGAGGGCCCUGUAUUUUUGAAGGAUCUGUCAUUUUUCAUGAAUCAGUCCACAAGGAAAGAGGGCUUGAAUGCAGUGCCCUAACAGCAGAUACCUGAGUUCAGAGUAUGUAUUAUGUUCCAGUUCUUGUCCCUGCUCAGAGAGUUACCAAACUGUUAGAAAUGACUAAGGCCUCUGUGGAGCACUCUGCAGCCUUUACUGAAGAUGUAUUAUAAAGAGGUCAGAAAGGACUGGGGCAUCAGCUUGUCUCCCUGUGGAGCUGACAAUGAAUUUAACUCCUUUGGAAUAGGAGGAGAAUCUCCUGGCAAUCUCCUAGAUGCCUACUUCACCCAAGACGAUUGUACUGGUUUUGCUUAUUGGUUGGCAGACCCCAUGCUUGACUGGUUUUUGAUUUCCUGCUGAAACUGGUUCAGACAGAUUUGGAAACAGAGCUAGCGAGCUGCUUUGCACUCCAGGACUUUCAGCAGCUGGAAGGUGCACUGGAGUACCUUGUGUUACGCUCUGAAGCAAAACCUGGGAUUCAAAACUGCAUCCGUCCAAGCCAAACUCCCAGGACAGCAGCUUUGCCUUCUUCUGGGUCUGUGUAAUGUGAGGAAUUGCAUGUCCCUAAGCAGCACACAACUAGGUAGAGGUGAGAGAGAGUGAGCCCAAAGGGUGAUGCUGCACAUUUAGAUCAUUUUAGGGCUUGGAGGAGUACUUGGAGACUUCUGGCCGCUGCAGAGGGUCCUGGGUGAUGGGACACCUCUGUUUUAACUUUGCUCUAAGCAAAAAGGUCAGAGAAGUAAGAUUGUUUCCAGUCUGCCACAAGGCCAGGGGUCCCUUUGACUAGUCUCCUUUCAUGGCAGUGCUGUUCUUUCUGCAUUGUCUGAGCUCUGAGCUUGGGGGAUUCAGCUUUAGAAAGUUAAACUGAAAUAGAGGCUGGUUUGGGAUUUACCCUGCCUUAUGGUCUCUCAGAUCAGAUGGAAGAGACUGGGGGCUGCAGAAGUAGCUGCAAGGUCAUCUCCCUUGCAGCAUCCCCCAUGCCACAGUUUCAUGGUCGCUGUAAAAACUCAGUAGUGUAUUUGGGUGCUGCUUUCCCAGGAACUCAAGAUGUGCUUGGCUGUGCUGUAGCACUGGGACUUAUGUGGGGUCCCUGUUCUCUUUCCCAUUGUACCUCUGAGGCAGCUAAAGUUUGUCCAAGCAGUUGAGGCUCCUCGUGGUGAGGAGUUAGAUACAGUUGUGUCAAAGGGAACUGCAAAUGUUACUUAGGAACUCACUAAGUGAGAUGAAAAUCCACUGGCUCACUCCUGCAGAGCCAGAUCCCGGAGCUCAGUUCCUCUCGCGCCCUUUGGAUGGGAUCUUGGGCUGGCAUCCUUGGAACAGCUGUGCCGGGAAGUGAAGAUGCUGCACUGCAGUAAGCACAAGAAGAGGCAAGCGAGUGGGCCUCAGUGUAGCACUCAUCACACGCUUCAUGGCUCAGUUCAUGGACUGUAACUGCAGGUAUUCAUAUAAUGUACAUCACUGGGCAGGACUCUGCGCACACACACAUGCAUGCCCAGACAUACACGCACCACACCCACACUUGCCCACACGUCCUCGCCAAAAUGACUGAAAAUAAAAGUGAUCUCAAUCUCCA